UACGAAGGGGGCUAGCGUUGUUCGGAAUUACUGGGCGUAAAGCGUGCGCAGGCGGCCUUCCAAGUCAGGGGUGAAGGCCCAGAGCUCAACUCUGGAAUUGCCUUUGAGACUGUGAGGCUUGAGUACGGGAGAGGUGAGUGGAAUUCCCAGUGUAGAGGUGAAAUUCGUAGAUAUUGGGAAGAACACCGGUGGCGAAGGCGGCUCACUGGCCCGUAACUGACGCUCAUGCACGACAGCGUGGGGAUCAAACAGG
Molecule: ribosomal RNA, 253 nt
Filed under: uncultured bacterium
Lineage: Bacteria
Description: partial 16S ribosomal RNA
Rfam family: Bacterial small subunit ribosomal RNA
Source: RNAcentral